AUUUGAUAGUGCACACCAAGUGUUUGAUAGCUGUCCUCUCUUACUAGUUUAGAAUAUUGGGGGCCUUCAGAUAGAGGGGGUUGUUUCUGAUUCUUCUUCUAUAAGGUUUACUGAACAUAAGAGGUGGCUUAAAUCUAGUAACUGUUAAGGUUUCUGGUGUGGACGCGUGCAAUAUUUCAAUGUAGUUCUGCACCAUUACUACCUUGCAGAUAUGUAAUGGACAAGAAUUUCAGUGCACGACGAAGGGAAAUAUAUUCUGCUGCACAUAAGGCAGGAACUAAAGUAUUCUUGAAGAGCCUGAAAAAUCAUAACAAGGGUGUAGCUCUAGAU
Long non-coding RNA from Triticum dicoccoides, 330 nucleotides. RefSeq lists it as uncharacterized. The transcript is spliced from 4 exons. Lineage: Eukaryota; Viridiplantae; Streptophyta; Magnoliopsida; Poales; Poaceae. The record is from RefSeq and is a predicted model, not a curated record.